AAUUGAUGGGGAAAUUAAAAUUCAUUGGACGACCUACCGCCGCAUGUUUACCUCAUUUUGUUCAAACAACAACAAAAAAAGUUAUUGAGGAAUUUUUGGAAACUUCUCAAAACAGCAAAGAUUCCUGUUGAAGUAUUCUUAAAAUUAAAGCAAGACCUACCCAGAUGACCAUAGAUGAGAUAUUGAUGACUUAAUAAGGAUAAGCUCGAAUAAUGAUUUGGAGUGCCUUUACUAGCUGAAGACUU
Molecule: long non-coding RNA, 245 nt
Organism: Culicoides brevitarsis
Lineage: Eukaryota; Metazoa; Arthropoda; Insecta; Diptera; Ceratopogonidae
Exons: 3
Source: RefSeq, a predicted model, not a curated record